AGAAAAAAUGCCGAGUCUUCUCAAUGGUGUUUCGUUCAUCGUGGUUAUCCCCCUUCUCCUGUUCAGAGUUGGCGAGAUCAGAGCUAUGGAUGAAACCUGGAGCUACGACCGAAGGAGAUUUAAUCACCCAUGGAACUGGAAGUACACGUACCCCAACUGUGGGGGUGUGAAACAGUCCCCCAUCAACAUCAAGACGA
Long non-coding RNA from Physella acuta, 197 nucleotides. RefSeq lists it as uncharacterized. The record is from RefSeq and is a predicted model, not a curated record. Lineage: Eukaryota; Metazoa; Mollusca; Gastropoda; Physidae.